GCUAAAUAUCUAGCUCAAACACCCAAAUUAUUACAACAACAUACAAAAUUUUACUAAACCAAGACCAUAAAAAUUAAAACAUUUUCCCACCCUAGUAUGAGUGACAGAAAAGGUCCCCUAAGCUAUAAUAGAGUACCGCAAGGGAAAGAUGAAAAAGAUAAUGAAACAAACCAUUAAAGCCUAAAAAAGCAGAGAUAAAACCUCGUACCUUUUGCAUCAUGAUUUAGCCAGCCACCCUGAGCAAAGAGUACUUUAGUUCACUACCCCGAAACUAAGUGAGCUACCCCGAGACAGCCUACUAUAAGGGCCAACCCAUCUCUGUAGCAAAAGAGUGGGAAGAUCUCCUGGUAGAGGUGACAAGCCUACCGAACUUAGUUAUAGCUGGUUGCCUAAGAAAUGAAUAAAAGUUCAGCCUCGCCCUCCUCUGCCCAUAAAAAAUUAUUAAUAUAUAAAGGACUAGAGAAACACGCAAGAGUUAGUCAGAGGGGGUACAGCCCCUCUGAAAAGGGACACAACCCUACCAGAAGGUUAAAGAUUAUACUAAAUAAGAUUACUGUUCCAGUGGGCCUAAAAGCAGCCACCACCAUAGAAAGCGUUAAAGCUCAAGCAGACUAAAAAUUUAUCAUCACAAUAAUUUAAUCCUAAACCCCUAAUCAUAUUAGGCCAUUCCAUGCAAACAUGGAAGAGAUACUGCUAAAAUGAGUAAUAAGAAGACACCACCUUCUCCAGACCCACGUGUAUGCUAGAACGGACUCACCACUAGCCAUUAACGAACCCACCCAAAGAGGGUAAUAUGACCAUAAAAAUAACCAAGAAAAAAUCAUAAGACAUUACCGUUAAACCCACACCGGAAGGUCCACAAGGAAAGACUAAAAGAAAAGGAAGGAACUCGGCAAACGCAAGCCUCGCCUGUUUACCAAAAACAUCGCCUCCCGCAAAAAAUACAUAGGAGGUCUUACCUGCCCAGUGACUACAAGUUAAACGGCCGCGGUAUUUUGACCGUGCAAAGGUAGCGCAAUCACUUGUCUUUUAAAUGAAGACCCGUAUGAAUGGUUAAACGAGGGCUUAACUGUCUCCCUCUUCUAGUCAAUGAAAUUGAUCUGCUCGUGCAGAAGCGAGCCUAUUAAUACAAGACGAGAAGACCCUUUGGAGCUUAAGAUAAAGACCAACUAUGUAUAAUAAAAACCUAAACCAAAUAGCUAUGGUCUCCAUCUUCGGUUGGGGCGACCGCGGGAGAAAACAAAGCUCCCAUGCGGACUGGGGCAACCCUAAAGCUAAGAAAGACAUCUCUAAGACACAGAACAUCUGACCAAAUUGAUCCGGCUACCAGCCGACCAACGAACCAAGUUACCCUAGGGAUAACAGCGCAAUCCCCUUUCAGAGGCCAUAUCGAGCAAGGGGGUUUACGA
RNAcentral lists this ribosomal RNA (1409 nucleotides) under Spatuloricaria sp. Nanay. Its description in RNAcentral is "partial 16S ribosomal RNA". It matches the Rfam family "Bacterial large subunit ribosomal RNA", at positions 23 to 2523 of the family's 2925-position model. The record is from RNAcentral. Lineage: Eukaryota; Metazoa; Chordata; Actinopteri; Siluriformes; Loricariidae.